This 433-nucleotide ribosomal RNA is filed under the name uncultured bacterium. RNAcentral's name for it is "partial 16S ribosomal RNA". It matches the Rfam family "Bacterial small subunit ribosomal RNA", at positions 29 to 507 of the family's 1533-position model. The record is from RNAcentral.
AACGAACGCUGGCGGCAUGCCUAACACAUGCAAGUCGAACGAGACCUUCGGGUCUUGUGGCGCCCGGGUGCGUAACGCGUGGGAACCUGCCCUUAGGGUCGGAAUAACUCCCCGAAAGGGGUGCUAAUACCGGAUAAUGUCUUCGGACCAAAGAUUUAUCGCCUUUGGAUGGGCCCGCGUUGGAUUAGCUAGUUGGUAGGGUAAAAGCCUACCAAGGCGACGAUCCAUAGCUGGUCUGAGAGGAUGAUCAGCGACACUGGGACUGAGACACGGCCCAGACUCCUACGGGAGGCAGGAGUGGGGAAUAUUGGACCAUGGGCGAAAGGCUGAUCCAGCAAUGCCGCGUGAGUGAUGAAGGCCUUAGGGUUGUAAAGCUCUUUUACCCGGGAUGAUAAUGACAGUACCGGGAGAAUAAGCUCCGGCUAACUCCGUG